UACAGAGGUCUCAAGCGUUGUUCGGAUUCAUUGGGCGUAAAGGGUGCGUAGGUGGCGCCAUAAGUCAGGUGUGAAAUCUCGGGGCUCAACCCCGAAACUGCACUUGAUACUGUGGUGCUCGAGUACUGGAGAGGAGAUUGGAAUUUACGGUGUAGCAGUGAAAUGCGUAGAUAUCGUAAGGAAGACCAGUGGCGAAGGCGACUUACUGGACACAUAUUGACGCUGAGGUGCGAAAGCGUGGGGAGCAAACAGG
RNAcentral lists this ribosomal RNA (253 nucleotides) under uncultured bacterium. Its description in RNAcentral is "partial 16S ribosomal RNA". It matches the Rfam family "Bacterial small subunit ribosomal RNA", at positions 524 to 776 of the family's 1533-position model. The record is from RNAcentral.